Molecule: transfer-messenger RNA, 355 nt
Filed under: Coriobacteriia bacterium
Lineage: Bacteria; Bacillati; Actinomycetota; Coriobacteriia
Rfam family: transfer-messenger RNA
About the family: Bacterial tmRNA, also known as 10Sa RNA or SsrA, is named for its dual tRNA and mRNA-like properties. Its role is to liberate the mRNA from a stalled ribosome. To accomplish this part of the tmRNA is used as a reading frame that ends in a translation stop signal.
Source: RNAcentral
GGGGGCGACUGGUUUCGACAUGAUAGUGCAAAAAGAGGAAGCAGGUCGUGGUCUCCUCGCCACGUAAAACAGGGGAACUUGUCAAAAUAAAUGACAACAAUAGUUUUGCCCUCGCUGCUUAAACAAUAGUCAGCGACGUCUCGCUAGGAUAAGACUCCGCUCUUAGCUACGACGCCAUUUUAGGAGUCUGCUCCAAGUGAUGUAGUCUGUAUGCGCUUGGAAAAGAUUAAACGGACUCGGCUUAAGUACGCGGGCCUUCAGGCGAGCUUUUGCUUAAAUUCAAUUGGGGGAUAAGCUUGUAGAAGCUCUUGAUGUUCUAGCAUGGACCGGAGUUCGAUUCUCCGCGCCUCCACCA